AUUCCCUUAAGCCGUUUCCCUUUUAUUUUCUCAAGUUCUAUCACUACAUCUCUCCAAUCCCCAUUCUUUCAUGAAAUUGGAGUUUCCUAACUUACUGAACCCUUGCCUUCCAUCUCUAAUCUCAACAAGGUAAGAUUUAGGGUUUCAAAUCUGUAUACUGAUCUUUUAUUUCUUGAAAUCGUCUUCUUCUCCACCGCCAUCUUUUGCGAAGAAUUAUAGAGAUGAAGUUUUAAGAGGAUGCGAAAGAUCAUCAGGUAUACAUACACAAUUCACCCCCUCUGAUUCGUUAAUAUUAUCAUCUCAACUCAAUAGAUCAUCUGUAAUGACGAUCUAAACCUAAUUCUGUGUCGUUUUGUUGUUUUUGCUUUUUUUAAUCAGAUUCAAUAAGAUUAUUAUGUUUUUGUGAGAUUACGUCGUUUUGUUGUUUUUGGUUUUUUAAUCAGAUUCAAUAAGAUUAUUAGGUUUUUGUGAGAUUACGAUUGAGGAUUUGUGUUUGGAUUGGCAUCGGGAUUGAUUCAUGGAGAAAUCGAUGAGAGAUAGAGGAAAAUGAUGCCGUAAUUAGCGGUUGAUUGUCGAACGACGUCGUAUGGAGUAGUUUCUUCGAGUGGAUUUUGGUAUGUUGCCUCAUCAGGGUAUUUUUUUAAUUAUUUUUAUUGUGUAUUUAUCAUAGUUAUUGGAUUUAACCUUUUUUAUAAGUUUUUUUAUGUUGAAGGCUAUACUUCCGACAAGUUGAUCCUGAGCAAGUUGUUAGGCGUUGUUCAUCUCGAACGAUAUCUCUACAGAGCUGGUGCAAGUUGCAAGAUCAGGGAAUGUAAGCAGGCAUCUGUGGCAUGAAAAGAAAAAGACGCGGAUGAAAUGAAAAGGAUGUGAUUCAGAUAGAUGUGAGGCUACUUUGCUCUGCUGUGACCGUCUAUGAGAGGUCCAUAGUGCAUGGCUGCCACCUUGGCUUGCAGCCCGUUUGGCUGGUUUUCAGCUGUCAGGGAACAAUGGGUGUUGGUGGUAACUAACGUCGAACCGCAACUACAAUCAUUAACCAAGAAGACCAAAGAGGUUUAUAUUCAGUUUAAGAAUGCUAUAACUCCACCUGUGAUCAAAAUUAAGGAAAUUGUAGACC
Molecule: long non-coding RNA, 1114 nt
Organism: Helianthus annuus (common sunflower)
Lineage: Eukaryota; Viridiplantae; Streptophyta; Magnoliopsida; Asterales; Asteraceae
Exons: 4
Source: RefSeq, a predicted model, not a curated record